Molecule: ribosomal RNA, 253 nt
Filed under: uncultured bacterium
Lineage: Bacteria
Description: partial 16S ribosomal RNA
Rfam family: Bacterial small subunit ribosomal RNA
Source: RNAcentral
GACAGAGGGUGCAAACGUUGUUCGGAAUUACUGGGCGUAAAGCGCGUGUAGGCGGCCACUUAAGUCCUGCGUGAAAUCUUGCGGCUCAACCGCAAGCGGUCGUGGGAAACUGGGUGGCUAGAGUGCGGGAGAGGAGAGUGGAAUUCCUGGUGUAGCGGUGGAAUGCGCAGAUAUCAGGAAGAACACCCGUGGCGAAGGCGGCUCUCUGGAACGCAACUGACGCUGAGACGCGAAAGCGUGGGGAGCAAACAGG